This 172-nucleotide non-coding RNA is filed under the name bovine gut metagenome. RNAcentral describes it as "Lysine riboswitch". It matches the Rfam family "Lysine riboswitch aptamer". Rfam says of the family: Riboswitches are metabolite binding domains within certain messenger RNAs that serve as precision sensors for their corresponding targets. The record is from RNAcentral.
GAGAUAGAGGCGCGUUUCGCCAUCAGUACCCGCCGCCGAUGCCGUGCAGGGCAGGCCCGGGGAAAGGGACGGACGCCGAAGGCAGCCCCCGCUGCAAAGAGGGCUGUACUGGGCGGGCAGACUAAGAGCUGUCCGACUGUCGCGGCUGGGAACAGUUUGCGGAGAGCUAUCC